CUAAUCUGCGAUAAGCGUCGGUAAGGUGAUAUGAACCGUUAUAACCGGCGAUUUCCGAAUGGGGAAACCCAGUGUGAUUCGUCACACUAUCAUUAACUGAAUCCAUAGGUUAAUGAGGCGAACCGGGGGAACUGAAACAUCUAAGUACCCCGAGGAAAAGAAAUCAACCGAGAUUCCCCCAGUAGCGGCGAGCGAACGGGGAGCAGCCCAGAGCCUGAAUCAGUGUGUGUGUUAGUGGAAGCGCCUGGAAAGGCGUGCGAUACAGGGUGACAGCCCCGUACACAAAAAUGCACAUAUUGUGAGCUCGAUGAGUAGGGCGGGACACGUGGUAUCCUGUCUGAAUAUGGGGGGACCAUCCUCCAAGGCUAAAUACUCCUGACUGACCGAUAGUGAACCAGUACCGUGAGGGAAAGGCGAAAAGAACCCCGGCGAGGGGAGUGAAAAAGAACCUGAAACCGUGUACGUACAAGCAGUGGGAGCACGCUUAGGCGUGUGACUGCGUACCUUUUGUAUAAUGGGUCAGCGACUUAUAUUCUGUAGCAAGGUUAACCGAAUAGGGGAGCCGAAGGGAAACCGAGUCUUAACUGGGCGUUAAGUUGCAGGGUAUAGACCCGAAACCCGGUGAUCUAGCCAUGGGCAGGUUGAAGGUUGGGUAACACUAACUGGAGGACCGAACCGACUAAUGUUGAAAAAUUAGCGGAUGACUUGUGGCUGGGGGUGAAAGGCCAAUCAAACCGGGAGAUAGCUGGUUCUCCCCGAAAGCUAUUUAGGUAGCGCCUCGUGAAUUCAUCUCCGGGGGUAGAGCACUGUUUCGGCAAGGGGGUCAUCCCGACUUACCAACCCGAUGCAAACUGCGAAUACCGGAGAAUGUUAUCACGGGAGACACACGGCGGGUGCUAACGUCCGUCGUGAAGAGGGAAACAACCCAGACCGCCAGCUAAGGUCCCAGAGUCAUGGUUAAGUGGGAAACGAUGUGGGAAGGCCCAGACAGCCAGGAUGUUGGCUUAGAAGCAGCCAUCAUUUAAAGAAAGCGUAAUAGCUCACUGGUCGAGUCGGCCUGCGCGGAAGAUGUAACGGGGCUAAACCAUGCACCGAAGCUGCGGCAGCGACGCUUAUGCGUUGUUGGGUAGGGGAGCGUUCUGUAAGCCUGCGAAGGUGUGCUGUGAGGCAUGCUGGAGGUAUCAGAAGUGCGAAUGCUGACAUAAGUAACGAUAAAGCGGGUGAAAAGCCCGCUCGCCGGAAGACCAAGGGUUCCUGUCCAACGUUAAUCGGGGCAGGGUAAGUCGACCCCUAAGGCGAGGCCGAAAGGCGUAGUCGAUGGGAAACAGGGUUAAUAUUCCUGUACUUGGUGUUACUGCGAAGGGGGACGGAGAAGGCUAUGUUGGCCGGGCGACGGUUGUCCCGGUUUAAGCGUGUAGGCUGGUUUUCCAGGCAAAUCCGGAAAAUCAAGGCUGAGGCGUGAUGACGAGGCACUACGGUGCUGAAGCAACAAAUGCCCUGCUUCCAGGAAAAGCCUCUAAGCAUCAGGUAACAUCAAAUCGUACCCCAAACCGACACAGGUGGUCAGGUAGAGAAUACCAAGGCGCUUGAGAGAACUCGGGUGAAGGAACUAGGCAAAAUGGUGCCGUAACUUCGGGAGAAGGCACGCUGAUAUGUAGGUGAAGUCCCUCGCGGAUGGAGCUGAAAUCAGUCGAAGAUACCAGCUGGCUGCAACUGUUUAUUAAAAACACAGCACUGUGCAAACACGAAAGUGGACGUAUACGGUGUGACGCCUGCCCGGUGCCGGAAGGUUAAUUGAUGGGGUUAGCGCAAGCGAAGCUCUUGAUCGAAGCCCCGGUAAACGGCGGCCGUAACUAUAACGGUCCUAAGGUAGCGAAAUUCCUUGUCGGGUAAGUUCCGACCUGCACGAAUGGCGUAAUGAUGGCCAGGCUGUCUCCACCCGAGACUCAGUGAAAUUGAACUCGCUGUGAAGAUGCAGUGUACCCGCGGCAAGACGGAAAGACCCCGUGAACCUUUACUAUAGCUUGACACUGAACAUUGAGCCUUGAUGUGUAGGAUAGGUGGGAGGCUUUGAAGUGUGGACGCCAGUCUGCAUGGAGCCGACCUUGAAAUACCACCCUUUAAUGUUUGAUGUUCUAACGUGGACCCGUAAUCCGGGUUGCGGACAGUGUCUGGUGGGUAGUUUGACUGGGGCGGUCUCCUCCUAAAGAGUAACGGAGGAGCACGAAGGUUGGCUAAUCCUGGUCGGACAUCAGGAGGUUAGUGCAAUGGCAUAAGCCAGCUUGACUGCGAGCGUGACGGCGCGAGCAGGUGCGAAAGCAGGUCAUAGUGAUCCGGUGGUUCUGAAUGGAAGGGCCAUCGCUCAACGGAUAAAAGGUACUCCGGGGAUAACAGGCUGAUACCGCCCAAGAGUUCAUAUCGACGGCGGUGUUUGGCACCUCGAUGUCGGCUCAUCACAUCCUGGGGCUGAAGUAGGUCCCAAGGGUAUGGCUGUUCGCCAUUUAAAGUGGUACGCGAGCUGGGUUUAGAACGUCGUGAGACAGUUCGGUCCCUAUCUGCCGUGGGCGCUGGAGAAUUGAGGGGGGCUGCUCCUAGUACGAGAGGACCGGAGUGGACGCAUCACUGGUGUUCGGGUUGUCAUGCCAAUGGCACUGCCCGGUAGCUAAAUGCGGAAGAGAUAAGUGCUGAAAGCAUCUAAGCACGAAACUUGCCCCGAGAUGAGUUCUCCCUGACUCCUUGAGAGUCCUGAAGGAACGUUGAAGACGACGACGUUGAUAGGCCGGGUGUGUAAGCGCAGCGAUGCGUUGAGCUAACCGGUACUAAUGAACCGUGAGGCUUAACCU
Molecule: ribosomal RNA, 2843 nt
Filed under: Escherichia coli P0299917.1
Lineage: Bacteria; Pseudomonadati; Pseudomonadota; Gammaproteobacteria; Enterobacterales; Enterobacteriaceae
Description: bacterial LSU rRNA
Rfam family: Bacterial large subunit ribosomal RNA
Source: RNAcentral